GACGAACGCUGGCGGCGUGCUUAACACAUGCAAGUCGAACGAUGAACCACUUCGGUGGGGAUUAGUGGCGAACGGGUGAGUAACACGUGGGCAAUCCGCCCUCCACUCUGGGACAAGCCCUGGAAACGGGGUCUAAUACCGGAUACAACCACUACAGGCAUCUGUGGGUGGUGGAAAGCUCCGGCGGUGAAGGAUGAGCC
RNAcentral lists this ribosomal RNA (200 nucleotides) under uncultured bacterium. RNAcentral's name for it is "partial 16S ribosomal RNA". It matches the Rfam family "Bacterial small subunit ribosomal RNA", at positions 28 to 231 of the family's 1533-position model. The record is from RNAcentral.